UAUAAGAGCACCUCCGUUUGUGAUCUGAGGAUUGAAUGGAUCAACAGCAAUACACGUAGAGUGUGAGCAAUAGUACCUGUCGUGAGUGAGAAUUUGUCCCUACCCACCUCCCCCCUCCCCGCCGCCAUCACUCUCUGUCCCACACGUGGUGAGAACCAGACUAAGUAAAGGCAGGGGGAGGGGAGGAGGGAGGUAUUAGUGCAACAAGGGCAAGGGCUCGAAUUCCCUCUCCACGUGUUCCUUCCUGUAGUGUGGCGUUCAGGCUCGGUUCCCCUCCAGGAGCAGCUCUGCCACAAAGGUGGGAGACGUCACGAACCCGCGGCCCGCUCAAGGCUUUUGGCUAUACUUAGACCUGGAGAUACACAGGAAGUCGGGAUGAUGAAAAAGUUCUGCAAGUGGAUGGUGAGGACAGUUGCACAACGUUUAGAAUGUACUUGAUGCCACCGAAUUGUAUUCUUGAAAAUGGGUAAAAUGGAGCCUCCUACAGCAGGGUGGUGAGCCCAGCACGAGGCAUUGGGCACUCCAUUCCAGCCAGGAGCCCCUGCCCGGGACACGUGCCCCCGCCUGUCCAGAGCUGAAGGCUGCCCAGCCUGUGGCUGCCUCUCUCUGACCUCUCUGCCUGCCUCCCACAGGUAA
Long non-coding RNA from Zalophus californianus (California sea lion), 636 nucleotides. RefSeq lists it as uncharacterized. Lineage: Eukaryota; Metazoa; Chordata; Mammalia; Carnivora; Otariidae. The record is from RefSeq and is a predicted model, not a curated record. The transcript is spliced from 3 exons.